RNAcentral lists this ribosomal RNA (1522 nucleotides) under metagenome. RNAcentral's name for it is "bacterial SSU rRNA". It matches the Rfam family "Bacterial small subunit ribosomal RNA". The record is from RNAcentral.
AGAGUUUGAUCAUGGCUCAGAUUGAACGCUGGCGGCAGGCCUAACACAUGCAAGUCGAACGGUAACAGGAAGCAGCUUGCUGCUUCGCUGACGAGUGGCGGACGGGUGAGUAAUGUCUGGGAAGCUGCCUGAUGGAGGGGGAUAACUACUGGAAACGGUAGCUAAUACCGCAUAAUGUCGCAAGACCAAAGAGGGGGACCUUCGGGCCUCUUGCCAUCGGAUGUGCCCAGAUGGGAUUAGCUUGUUGGUGGGGUAACGGCUCACCAAGGCGACGAUCCCUAGCUGGUCUGAGAGGAUGACCAGCCACACUGGAACUGAGACACGGUCCAGACUCCUACGGGAGGCAGCAGUGGGGAAUAUUGCACAAUGGGCGCAAGCCUGAUGCAGCCAUGCCGCGUGUAUGAAGAAGGCCUUCGGGUUGUAAAGUACUUUCAGCGGGGAGGAAGGGAGUAAAGUUAAUACCUUUGCUCAUUGACGUUACCCGCAGAAGAAGCACCGGCUAACUCCGUGCCAGCAGCCGCGGUAAUACGGAGGGUGCAAGCGUUAAUCGGAAUUACUGGGCGUAAAGCGCACGCAGGCGGUUUGUUAAGUCAGAUGUGAAAUCCCCGGGCUCAACCUGGGAACUGCAUCUGAUACUGGCAAGCUUGAGUCUCGUAGAGGGGGGUAGAAUUCCAGGUGUAGCGGUGAAAUGCGUAGAGAUCUGGAGGAAUACCGGUGGCGAAGGCGGCCCCCUGGACGAAGACUGACGCUCAGGUGCGAAAGCGUGGGGAGCAAACAGGAUUAGAUACCCUGGUAGUCCACGCCGUAAACGAUGUCGACUUGGAGGUUGUGCCCUUGAGGCGUGGCUUCCGGAGCUAACGCGUUAAGUCGACCGCCUGGGGAGUACGGCCGCAAGGUUAAAACUCAAAUGAAUUGACGGGGGCCCGCACAAGCGGUGGAGCAUGUGGUUUAAUUCGAUGCAACGCGAAGAACCUUACCUGGUCUUGACAUCCACGGAAGUUUUCAGAGAUGAGAAUGUGCCUUCGGGAACCGUGAGACAGGUGCUGCAUGGCUGUCGUCAGCUCGUGUUGUGAAAUGUUGGGUUAAGUCCCGCAACGAGCGCAACCCUUAUCCUUUGUUGCCAGCGGUCCGGCCGGGAACUCAAAGGAGACUGCCAGUGAUAAACUGGAGGAAGGUGGGGAUGACGUCAAGUCAUCAUGGCCCUUACGACCAGGGCUACACACGUGCUACAGUGGCGCAUACAAAGAGAAGCGACCUCGCGAGAGCAAGCGGACCUCAUAAAGUGCGUCGUAGUCCGGAUUGGAGUCUGCAACUCGACUCCAUGAAGUCGGAAUCGCUAGUAAUCGUGGAUCAGAAUGCCACGGUGAAUACGUUCCCGGGCCUUGUACACACCGCCCGUCACACCAUGGGAGUGGGUUGCAAAAGAAGUAGGUAGCUUAACCUUCGGGAGGGCGCUUACCACUUUGUGAUUCAUGACUGGGGUGAAGUCGUAACAAGGUAACCGUAGGGGAACCUGCGGUUG